Molecule: non-coding RNA, 51 nt
Organism: Roseburia sp. 831b
Lineage: Bacteria; Bacillati; Bacillota; Clostridia; Lachnospirales; Lachnospiraceae
Source: Rfam
GGACCACUCAUCCCGAGUCAAGGCCAUACGGACAGCCGGGUCCACUGCCGA